CCUGGAUUGCUUCCCGCCAUCUUUUCCGAGGUGGAACGACGAGACUGCAGAUGCAUGUAAAUCAGUCUGCGGGGCUUCGUUGAGAUCGGAAUGAGAGCUGGCAGGGUGGUGACAAAAAUGCCAACACAAUCUGAAAGGGCACCGAUGAAAGGCAACACAAUUAGCAUCUGGAGGGGGGAAAAUCAGAGACGAGGAGGACGGGAAUCACAUAGCGGUCUUGCUGGCAGGGAAUUGAGGUGUUUGGUUCCUACAUCAUGGCCUUCAGCACAGAUUUACUCUGACAAAGAAAACCUGAGCGACUCCAAAUCGACCGUAGCUUCUCCCCCUUCUGCAAGAGACCACCUUGUAAAGGCUCUUUCUGGAGAAUGAACACGUCAGAAUGCCACCGGUGUCAGAGAAGAUGUGCUGUUGGAUGCCAUUUUGGCUUAUAUCUGCUCUGAGAUGUGAGGCGUAGGUGCCUAUUGCAGUUGGAAGG
Molecule: long non-coding RNA, 475 nt
Organism: Carassius carassius (crucian carp)
Lineage: Eukaryota; Metazoa; Chordata; Actinopteri; Cypriniformes; Cyprinidae
Exons: 3
Source: RefSeq, a predicted model, not a curated record